Molecule: ribosomal RNA, 510 nt
Filed under: uncultured bacterium
Lineage: Bacteria
Description: partial 16S ribosomal RNA
Rfam family: Bacterial small subunit ribosomal RNA
Source: RNAcentral
GACGAACGCUGGCGGCGUGCUUAACACAUGCAAGUCGAACGAAGAGCGAUGGAAGCUUGCUUCUAUCAAUCUUAGUGGCGAACGGGUGAGUAACGCGUAAUCAACCUGCCCUUCAGAGGGGGACAACAGUUGGAAACGACUGCUAAUACCGCAUACGAUCUAAUCUCGGCAUCGAGGAUAGAUGAAAGGUGGCCUCUACAUGUAAGCUAUCACUGAAGGAGGGGAUUGCGUCUGAUUAGCUAGUUGGAGGGGUAACGGCCCACCAAGGCGAUGAUCAGUAGCCGGUCUGAGAGGAUGAACGGCCACAUUGGGACUGAGACACGGCCCAGACUCCUACGGGAGGCAGCAGUGGGGAAUCUUCCGCAAUGGACGAAAGUCUGACGGAGCAACGCCGCGUGAGUGAUGACGGCCUUCGGGUUGUAAAGCUCUGUUAAUUGGGACGAAAGGCCUUCUUGCGAAUAGUGAGAAGGAUUGACGGUACCGGAAUAGAAAGCCACGGCUAACUACGUG